UACGAAGGGGGCUAGCGUUGUUCGGAUUUACUGGGCGUAAAGCGCACGUAGGCGGAUUGUUAAGUGAGAGGUGAAAUCCCAAGGCUCGACCUUGGAACUGCCUUUCAUACUGGCAACUUCAAGUUCGGAAGAGGUGAGUGGAAUUCCUAGUGUAGAGGUGAAAUUCGUAGAUAUUAGGAAGAACACCGGUGGCGAAGGCGGCCCACUGGUCCGAUACUGACGCUGAGGUGCGAAAGCGUGGGGAGUAAACAGG
This 253-nucleotide ribosomal RNA is filed under the name uncultured bacterium. RNAcentral describes it as "partial 16S ribosomal RNA". It matches the Rfam family "Bacterial small subunit ribosomal RNA", at positions 524 to 776 of the family's 1533-position model. The record is from RNAcentral.